GGAAUUUUCCGCAAUGGGCGCAAGCCUGACGGAGCAAUGCCGCGUGCGGGAUGAAGUAUCUCUGGUAUGUAAACCGCUGUCAGGGGGCAGAAACAAUGAUUGCCCCCAGAGGAAGUGGCGACUAACUCUGUGCCAGCAGUCGCGGUAAUACAGAGGCCACGAGCAUUAGUCGGAAUCACUGGGCUUAAAGGGUGCGUAGGUGGCUUGCCAAGUGCUUUGUGAAAUCCCACGGCUCAACCGUGGAACAGCAGGGCAUACUGGCAAGCUUGAGGCAAGUAGGGGCUGACGGAACAGUAGGUGGAGCGGUGAAAUGCGUAGAUAUCUACUGGAACGCCGAUGGUGAAGACGGUCAGCUGGGCUUGUCCUGACACUGAGGCACGAAAGCGUGGGGAGCAAACAGGAUUAGAUACCCCUGUAGUC
RNAcentral lists this ribosomal RNA (420 nucleotides) under uncultured bacterium. Its description in RNAcentral is "bacterial SSU rRNA". It matches the Rfam family "Bacterial small subunit ribosomal RNA", at positions 358 to 795 of the family's 1533-position model. The record is from RNAcentral.